This 395-nucleotide ribosomal RNA is filed under the name Cryptosporidium parvum. RNAcentral's name for it is "SSU rRNA". It matches the Rfam family "Eukaryotic small subunit ribosomal RNA", at positions 311 to 706 of the family's 1831-position model. Lineage: Eukaryota; Apicomplexa; Conoidasida; Eucoccidiorida; Cryptosporidiidae. The record is from RNAcentral.
CCUAUCAGCUUUAGACGGUAGGGUAUUCGGCCUACCGUGGCAAUGACGGGUAACGGGGAAUUAGGGUUCGAUUCCGGAGAGGGAGCCUGAGAAACGGCUACCACAUCUAAGGAAGGCAGCAGGCGCGCAAAUUACCCAAUCCUAAUACAGGGAGGUAGUGACAAGAAAUAACAAUACAGGACUUUUUGGUUUUGUAAUUGGAAUGAGUUAAGUAUAAACCCCUUUACAAGUAUCAAUUGGAGGGCAAGUCUGGUGCCAGCAGCCGCGGUAAUUCCAGCUCCAAUAGCGUAUAUUAAAGUUGUUGCAGUUAAAAAGCUCGUAGUUGGAUUUCUGUUAAUAAUUUAUAUAAAAUAUUUUGAUGAAUAUUUAUAUAAUAUUAACAUAAUUCAUAUUAC